This 495-nucleotide ribosomal RNA is filed under the name uncultured bacterium. Its description in RNAcentral is "partial 16S ribosomal RNA". It matches the Rfam family "Bacterial small subunit ribosomal RNA", at positions 28 to 507 of the family's 1533-position model. The record is from RNAcentral.
GACGAACGCUGGCGGCGUGCCUAAUACAUGCAAGUAGAACGCUGAAGGAGGAGCUUGCUUCUCUGGAUGAGUUGCGAACGGGUGAGUAACGCGUAGGUAACCUGCCUGGUAGCGGGGGAUAACUAUUGGAAACGAUAGCUAAUACCGCAUAAGAGUAGAUGUUGCAUGACAUUUGCUUAAAAGGUGCAAUUGCAUCACUACCAGAUGGACCUGCGUUGUAUUAGCUAGUUGGUGGGGUAACGGCUCACCAAGGCGACGAUACAUAGCCGACCUGAGAGGGGGAUCGGCCACACUGGGACUGAGACACGGCCCAGACUCCUACGGGAGGCAGCAGUAGGGAAUCGUCGGCAAUGGACGGAAGUCUGACCGAGCAACGCCGCGGGAGUGAAGAAGGGUGUCGGAUCGUAAAGCUCUGUUGUAAGAGAAGAACGAGUGUGAGAGUGGAAAGUUCACACUGUGACGGUAUCUUACCAGAAAGGGACGGCUAACUACGUG